GAAGGUUGAAUAGCUAUUCACUCUUACGAGAGGUAGAAGAGCUUAAAUGUUUUGUCUUUGGAGGAGAACUUCGAAAUACUUCGCAGUACUGGGUCAGUGGAAGAUUUGGCAAUUUCUCAUAACCUCUGCAGCUGGGUCAGUGGAGUUAGGCAAAUGAUUCUCGACCAUGGCUGCUUAGAGAAACGAGGUGGAAGUGUUGAGAUGAAACGAUAUUGAGGGCGCUGUUUAUCCUGGUCAUGCAUCAACGCAACGUAGCAGCAUGAUAUGCAUGCUGCCCUGAUCUACAGCUGCAGCUGGGCUAAGUAGAAGCCGGUGCCCAAGCCGAAGUCCAUUUUUUAUGCACAGUCGUCCUUCAACAUACCAUAACUUACCCCUUCACCGUUGAGUAUGUGCACCAGCAGUCCGUUGCCACAGCCCAAGU
Long non-coding RNA from Acanthaster planci (crown-of-thorns starfish), 421 nucleotides. RefSeq lists it as uncharacterized. Lineage: Eukaryota; Metazoa; Echinodermata; Asteroidea; Valvatida; Acanthasteridae. The record is from RefSeq and is a predicted model, not a curated record.